Camellia sinensis is the source of this 1563-nucleotide non-coding RNA. Lineage: Eukaryota; Viridiplantae; Streptophyta; Magnoliopsida; Ericales; Theaceae. The record is from RefSeq and is a predicted model, not a curated record.
UCUCUCUCUCUUGCUUUCGCGCUCUGCUUCUCAGUCCGUCUGUGCGUCUCUCGCUCUCUCGCUCGAGCUCUUUGACACAGUCUAUCUAUGUUUCUGUCUGUCUAUGUCUCUCUCCAUCUCUUUCUCAAAGAGUUAAAAAUGUUUAGGGUUAAAAAGAGGGAAAAUGACCAAUUUAAAAGAGGCAGAGUGUAAAUUUACCCAUUUUAGAAACAAUUGUUAUAUAGGGUCGGUCCAAAGCGGUUAAUCAUAUCAUCGAAUUAGGUUCUCUCACGAUCCACAAGUUCGUUACAUUCACUCACAUAUAUAUAACACUGGUACUAGUAUAUAUAUAUAUGGUAAUCUCUGUAACUAGCGAUUUGGGAAUUGAGAUCUGUGUUUCUCUCUCAAAUCGUCUUUGACAAAGAUGUAUGGAUUCGAAGCGAUGACAUUCAACAUCCAUGGCGGUUACCUGGAAGCGAUCGUGAGGGUAUACAGAUCUGGUUUGCUCACCGCCGCCGAUUACAACAAUCUCUGCCAGUGCGAAACCCUAGAUGACAUCAAGAUGCACCUCUCCGCUACCGAAUACUGACCCUACCUCCAAAACGAACCUUCCCCGUUGCAUACAACUACAAUUGUGGAGAAAUGCACUCUUAAACUGGUUGACGAGUACAAGCACAUGCUAUGCCAAGCCACAGAGCCAUUGUCAACCUUUCUUGAGUGCAUCACAUAUGGUCACAUGAUUGACAACGUUGUCCUGAUCGUUACUGGAACCUUGCAUGAAAGAGAUGUUCAGGAAUUGUUAGAGAAAUGCCACCCUUUGGGCAUGUUUGACAGUUGCUCAGAAUAUGCGGGAACUAUAUAGACUGGUGCUUGUUGACAGGCCUUUGGCUCCGUACGUCUCUGAGUGUAUCACAUCUGAGGGAUUGUUAAUUUCAAGUUUAAGGAUUUUGAUGCUGCUAUUGAAGACCUAUCUGCAUGUGUAAAGCUUGAUAAGGAUAACAAAUCAGCGUACACAUAUUUGGGUUUGGCAUUAUCUUCAAUUGGUGAAUACAGGAGGGCUGAGGAGGCACAUAUGAAAUCAAUUCAACUUGAUCCAAGUUUCCUUGAGGCAUGGGCUCAUUUAACACAGAUGACUUCGUUGCGUGAACUUGCAGAGAUAUUUUGGUGUAUGGAGAAGAAAUUGUACUUUUGUCGUCUCCAGCUUUUAUGCAGUUAACUAUUCCUGAUACAGAAAACUAUUGGCAGCGAACAGAUAAUUAUUGGCAUGGUAGAUAGAUCACCUUUUGACGCCGUCCCCUAAAUUGAUUUUUUGUCGUGGUACAUAAAUAAAUUUUUGGCUUGGUACAUAUAUCACCUUUUGUCGUGGUAUAAAUUACGAUGGUAAUUUGUACCAUGCCAAAUGGUCAUUUUACAUGGUAUAGUAAAUGUAAUUUUUGUAUAUGGAGGGCUUUGCUUUUUGUAUGAUUGAAUAUGUUGUAUGGAAUUAUUAUUUUAGUUUGGACAAUAGUUCGGUUGUAUGUGCUUGGACAGUUAAAGUAAUUUAUUUUUUGUAUACGAAUGCAGAUUGUGCAAUGAUUGAUAAUU